GAAUGAACGCUGGUGGCAGACCUAACACAUGCAAGUCGAACGAUUUAUAAAAACUUCGGUUUUUAUAAAGAGUGGCAAACGGGUGAGUAAUGCAUGGGAAUCUACCUAGAAGUUUGGGAUAACUAUUAGAAAUAGUAGCUAAUACCGAAUACACCCCGAGGGGGAAAGUUGACUUUUAGUCUUCGCUUUUAGAUGAGCCCAUGUUAAAUUAGUUAGUUGGUGGGAUAACAGCCUACCAAGACGAUGAUUUAUAGCUGGUCUUAGAGGAUGAUCAGCCACACUGGAAUUGAGAUACGGUUCAGACUCCUACGGGAGGCAGCAGUGGGGGAAUAUUGGACAAUGCCAAGCGACAGUCAUGCCACGUGAGUGAUGAAGGUCUUA
Molecule: ribosomal RNA, 381 nt
Filed under: uncultured bacterium
Lineage: Bacteria
Description: bacterial SSU rRNA
Rfam family: Bacterial small subunit ribosomal RNA
Source: RNAcentral